AGAUUGAACUGAAGAGUUUGAUCCUGGCUCAGAUUGAACGCUGGCGGCAUGCUUUACACAUGCAAGUCGAACGGUAACAGGGUGCUUGCACCGCUGACGAGUGGCGAACGGGUGAGUAACGCAUCGGAAUGUACCGUGUAAUGGGGGAUAGCUCGGCGAAAGCCGGAUUAAUACCGCAUACGCCCUGAGGGGGAAAGUGGGGGACCGUAAGGCCUCACGUUAUACGAGCAGCCGAUGUCUGAUUAGCUAGUUGGUGAGGUAAGAGCUCACCAAGGCGACGAUCAGUAGCGGGUCUGAGAGGAUGAUCCGCCACACUGGGACUGAGACACGGCCCAGACUC
Molecule: ribosomal RNA, 340 nt
Filed under: Pseudomonas sp. MWU12-2534b
Lineage: Bacteria; Pseudomonadati; Pseudomonadota; Gammaproteobacteria; Pseudomonadales; Pseudomonadaceae
Description: bacterial SSU rRNA
Rfam family: Bacterial small subunit ribosomal RNA
Source: RNAcentral